UACGUAGGUGGCAAGCGUUGUCCGGAUUUAUUGGGUUUAAAGGGUGCGUAGGCGGCUUUGUAAGUCAGUGGUGAAAUAUGGCAGCUCAACUGUCAAGGUGCCAUUGAUACUGCGGAGCUUGAGUACAGAUGAGGUAGGCGGAAUUGACGGUGUAGCGGUGAAAUGCGUAGAUAUCUGGAGGAACACCGGUGGCGAAGGCGGCAUCCUGGACCAACACUGACACUGAGGAGCGAAAGCCAGGGGAGCAAACGGG
RNAcentral lists this ribosomal RNA (253 nucleotides) under uncultured bacterium. RNAcentral describes it as "partial 16S ribosomal RNA". It matches the Rfam family "Bacterial small subunit ribosomal RNA", at positions 524 to 776 of the family's 1533-position model. The record is from RNAcentral.